AAAAUUAAAAAGUAAAAAUAAAACUAUUUUGAAAACAGAGUGAACAAAACAAAACCACGAAAACUAUAGGCAAAACAAAACCACAAAAUUGUGAACAAAAUUGCGAUAAUGUAGACUGAAAUUAAAACAAAAUAAAACUACAAAAAAAGAUGUUAGAGAAAUUGUGACUAGCGACUAACCCAAAAGCCAACACCGCCGCUGAAAAAAAUAUUUAAUUUUAAAAAAUAAACAAUUUCUUUUUCAUAAAAAAAGGAAAAAAUUAAAAUAUCUAAAAAUUCAACCAC
RNAcentral lists this long non-coding RNA (284 nucleotides) under Gossypium raimondii (Peruvian cotton). Its description in RNAcentral is "long non-coding RNA (GRAI_LNC007428)". The record is from RNAcentral. Lineage: Eukaryota; Viridiplantae; Streptophyta; Magnoliopsida; Malvales; Malvaceae.